This 251-nucleotide ribosomal RNA is filed under the name uncultured bacterium. RNAcentral describes it as "partial 16S ribosomal RNA". It matches the Rfam family "Bacterial small subunit ribosomal RNA", at positions 103 to 354 of the family's 1533-position model. The record is from RNAcentral.
CGGGUGAGUAACGCGUGGAAAACCUGCCGUAUACUGGGGGAUAACACUUAGAAAUAGGUGCUAAUACCGCAUAAGCGCACAGCUUCGCAUGAAGCGGUGUGAAAAACUCUGGUGGUAUACGAUGGUUCCGCGUCUGAUUAGCUAGUUGGUGGGGUAAUGGCCUACCAAGGCAACGAUCAGCAGCCGGCCUGAGAGGGUGAACGGCCACAUUGGGACUGAGACACGGCCCAAACUCCUACGGAAGGCAGCAG